UACGGGGGGGGCAAGCGUUGUUCGGAAUUACUGGGCGUAAAGAGCUCGUAGGCGGUCUGUCACGUCGGAUGUGAAAACUCGGGGCUCAACCCCGAGCCUGCAUUCGAUACGGGCAGACUUGAGUUCGGCAGGGGAGACUGGAAUUCCUGGUGUAGCGGUGAAAUGCGCAGAUAUCAGGAGGAACACCGGUGGCGAAGGCGGGUCUCUGGGCCGAUACUGACGCUGAGGAGCGAAAGCGUGGGGAGCGAACAGG
Molecule: ribosomal RNA, 253 nt
Filed under: uncultured bacterium
Lineage: Bacteria
Description: partial 16S ribosomal RNA
Rfam family: Bacterial small subunit ribosomal RNA
Source: RNAcentral